Molecule: ribosomal RNA, 543 nt
Filed under: Russula cf. delica VH-2016
Lineage: Eukaryota; Fungi; Basidiomycota; Agaricomycetes; Russulales; Russulaceae
Description: mitochondrial SSU rRNA
Rfam family: Bacterial small subunit ribosomal RNA
Source: RNAcentral
GAAUAUUAGUCAAUGCUCGAAAGAGUGAACUAGCUAACUGAAAUCAAUUAUAAAAAUUGAUAACAUAAGGGAAAAUAAUGAUAUUACCUUAUUAUUAGUGUCGUCAAAAACUGGUGCCAGAAGACUCGGUAAGGCCUGAGACACAAACGUUAAUCGUCUUAAUCAGGCGUAAAGGGUUUGUAGGCGGCUUUUAAAUUAACUUAUUAAUAAAAAUAAAAUAAGAAUAAAAGCUAGAAUCAAAUAGAGGAUAUAUUACAAAAUGCUUAGAGUAGGUCUGAUAUCCUUAGAUACUAAGUAGAAUAUUAAAGGCGAAAGCUUUUUUCCAUUAAUGAUUGACGCUCAGAAACGAAGGUGAGGAUAGGAAAUAGGAUUAGAUACCCCAAAUACCCCUCUCUGUCAACGAUGAAUGGUAGUUAUUAGUAAAAAUUAUUAAUAGCAAUGUUAACACGAUAACCAUUCCGCCUUGUGAGUACUACUGCAAAGUUGAAAACAAAAAAAUUAGUCGGUUUCGGAGCAAACGAAGUGAAGCAUGUUAUUUAAUUC